Long non-coding RNA from Prunus persica (peach), 980 nucleotides. RefSeq lists it as uncharacterized. NCBI's taxonomy places the organism in Eukaryota, Viridiplantae, Streptophyta, Magnoliopsida, Rosales, Rosaceae. The transcript has 2 exons. The record is from RefSeq and is a predicted model, not a curated record.
CUCAGGCCCUAUUUGGUUGGCCAAAUUAGACUGGACUUUUCUAAUUAAAAUAGACUAUAGUCCUAACCGUUGUUUAGUGAAUUUAAAUACAUAUCGGACUGGUUGAGACUUUUUUUUUGCUCCAGAUAAGAACCAUUGUAUGAGGGUUUUGUAAACCCAAGCGGAGCCACAGGUUUCGAAGCCUCCGCCUUCUCACGUCUCAUCUCUUCGUCUCUCUACGUCUUUUCUCUUCGUUUGUUAGAAGCAGGGCAAAACUCUGUAAUUGCUACUCAAAUUAGGGAGUUAGUUCAACUUGACCUAAUUGUAAGGUUUGAUUGGGACUUUGAUCACUACUUGGAAGAGGAUCUGCUUGUUGCAUUGAGGUGACAACCCCUUAAUGAUCAAGCAUCUGAGAGUAACAUUCCUGUUGUACAGUUGGAUGGGAGCCAUAAUAAUGAUCAAACUCAUGCUCAAUCCAAAUCAUCAUCAUCAAGGAAAUAAAAUGGUUGAUGGUUUGGGAAGAAUUGCCAAUGCAUUUGAGAGUAUGAUGGAGAACUCCGACGCCAAAAUGCAAAGGUUGGUUGAGAGCCUAAAAAAGCAGAAUGCAGAUGAUGAUCAUAAAUUUGUUGGAGAUGAGUUAAAAAAGAUGGAAUUUUCUGUUUCAUAUAGAAUCUCUUUACUUAAUUUAUUUAUUGAAUCGGCAAAAGUGCAUGUGUUGAAGACAUUAGAUGAGGGUGAUGAUGGGUACGAGUAUGUGACGACAUUGCUUAGAGAUCAUAGAUCUCGUGGUUGAGAUGUAGUUUUGAGUAUUUACUUUGUUAUAUUUUGGACUUGUUGUAUUUUGAUGGGCAAAAUCAAAUAGGUAUUUAAUUGCUUUGUUAAAUUUGGAUAUGUUUUUAGCUAUUUUAGAAGUAGUAUGUGAUAGGGCUUUCUCAAUUUUAAUUAUGUGCAUUUUUUUAAUAAGUGCAAAAAAAAAAAAAAGAAUUAAAAAAAUAUUUUGA